GGUGGCGCAGUGGUAGAGUGCUUGCCUUGCAAGCAUGAGGCCCUGGGUUCAAUUCCUCAGCACCA
Molecule: transfer RNA, 65 nt
Filed under: Dipodomys ordii (Ord's kangaroo rat)
Lineage: Eukaryota; Metazoa; Chordata; Mammalia; Rodentia; Heteromyidae
Rfam family: tRNA
About the family: Transfer RNA (tRNA) molecules are approximately 80 nucleotides in length. Their secondary structure includes four short double-helical elements and three loops (D, anti-codon, and T loops).
Source: Rfam by way of RNAcentral